GACGUAGGUGGCGAGCGUUGUUCGGAAUCACUGAGCAUAAAGCGCACGUAGACGGCCAAGUCAGUCAGGUGUGAAAUACCUCGGCUCAACCGAGGAACUGCGCCUGAUACUGCUUGGCUUGAGGUCCGGAAGAGAGAAUGGAAUUCCCGGUGGAGCGGUGAAAUGCGUAGAGAUCGGGAAGAACGCCGACGGCGAAAACGACUCUCUGGUCGGAAUCUGACGCUGAGGUGCGAAAGCUAGGGGAGCAAACGGG
RNAcentral lists this ribosomal RNA (253 nucleotides) under uncultured bacterium. RNAcentral's name for it is "partial 16S ribosomal RNA". It matches the Rfam family "Bacterial small subunit ribosomal RNA", at positions 524 to 776 of the family's 1533-position model. The record is from RNAcentral.